Molecule: ribosomal RNA, 468 nt
Filed under: uncultured bacterium
Lineage: Bacteria
Description: partial 16S ribosomal RNA
Rfam family: Bacterial small subunit ribosomal RNA
Source: RNAcentral
GACGAACGCUGGCGGCGUGCCUAACACAUGCAAGUCGAACGGAAAGGCCCGGCUUUUGCGGGGUGCUCGAUUGGCGAACGGGUGAGUAACACGCGUGUAACCUGCCCUUGACUUUGGGAUAACUUCAGGAAACUGGGGCUAAUACCGGAGAGGACCUCCUGCUGCAUGGUGUGGGUUGGAAAGAUUCGGCCGUUGGGGAUGGACUCGCGGCUUAUCAGCUUGUUGGUGGGGUAGUGGCUUACCAAGGCUUUGACGGAUAGCCGGCCUGAGAGGGUGGCCGGGCACCUUGGGCCUGAGGUACGGCCCAGACUCCUACGGUAGGCAGCAGUGGGGAGUAUUGCACAAUGGGCCGACGCGUGAUGCGGAGGCUCCGCGUGCGGAAUGACGGCCUUCUGGUUGUCAACCGAUUUCGCCGGAGCCGAAGCGUGCGUGACGGUAAUGGGUAAAGAAGCACCGGCUAACUACGUG